RNAcentral lists this long non-coding RNA (713 nucleotides) under Hordeum vulgare. Its description in RNAcentral is "long non-coding RNA (HVUL_LNC015679)". The record is from RNAcentral. Lineage: Eukaryota; Viridiplantae; Streptophyta; Magnoliopsida; Poales; Poaceae.
UCCUCGGCCUGUCCUCUCUGCCCCUCCUGCUGCUCCCCACGCAUGUGCGUGGUGCCGCCAGAGACCCCCAAUGAGUGAGGUCACAUAGGCGAUGCCCAGAGCCCCUCUACUUGUCCCCAACCCCCACUGCAACAUCGCUUGCAGUCCCUAGGUCGUGCCCAUGCCACGCGGCCGGCCACAACAGUCCAAGGCCUCGCGCCCGAGCCCUCCCGUGCAUGCUACUCACUGUCGCCACCGCGCGCCUAUAGUAAGGCCUCCCCGAGGCCCCCUCACCUCUGGACUCUCUUCCCCGACCCCAAUCGCACGCCUAGACCACCUCUUCCCCCUCUCCUACUCUCUGCGCUCGGGAUCGAGGCGAGCGCCGCCAUCUCUGGACACCGGUGCCAGCAUGGUAGGGAGUUCCUCCGCCCCUGUUCCUCUAUGAUCUGGAGCCAUGGGACGGUUGUCACCCUUUCCCCCCUGCUUGCCGCCUUGUUUGCAUCCAGGAACAACUCCGGUGGUCGUCACCUGAAGCUCCCUGUGUUGCAUGCCUCAUCACCAGCGAACCCCUAAGCCCCGACGACCUCCUCCACCUCUCACUAAUCAGGGGUAUCGCCGUGUGUCUAUCUCUGCCAUCGUCGCGUCAAUCCAUCGCCGGAGUCACUGCCGGUGAGCUCCUCCCCUUCACUGUCGUGGGGAAGGAGAUGACCGAUGGGCUCCACCUAUCAUCUUGU